UAUAUAUAACAAUUAUACAAACUUUUAGCAACGGAUCUCUGGGCUCUCGCAACGAUGAAGAACGCAGCGAAUUGCGAAAAGUAAUGUGAAUUGCAUAUACCCGUGAAUCAUCAAAUCUUUGAACGCAACCUUGCACCAUUGGGAACUCCCGAUAGUACCGUCUGUUUGAGUAUCCAAUCAACACCUGCAAACUUUGCUUUUAACCCGAGCCAUACUUUGCAUAUCGAUUGGAUAGUCUUUAUUACUACCGAUUUAGAUACAUACGUCUAGCCACGCUAGUCAACAGAGUUUAACACUUCUGAGUGACGAAUGUAGUAGCAUGACUGGGGCUUCUUGAAGUCUUUAACUUUGAUCUCAGAUCCAGACGAGGAUACCCCGCUGAACUUAA
This 388-nucleotide ribosomal RNA is filed under the name uncultured fungus. RNAcentral describes it as "eukaryotic LSU rRNA". The stretch from base 20 to 175 matches the Rfam family "5.8S ribosomal RNA". Lineage: Eukaryota; Fungi. The record is from RNAcentral.